RNAcentral lists this ribosomal RNA (459 nucleotides) under uncultured bacterium. RNAcentral describes it as "partial 16S ribosomal RNA". It matches the Rfam family "Bacterial small subunit ribosomal RNA", at positions 338 to 795 of the family's 1533-position model. The record is from RNAcentral.
CCUACGGGAGGCAGCAGUGAGGAAUAUUGGUCAAUGGGCGCGAGCCUGAACCAGCCAAGUCGCGUGAGGGAAGACGGUCCUAUGGAUUGUAAACCUCUUUUGUCGGGGAGCAAAAGACGCCACGCGUGGCGUUCCGAGAGUACCCGAAGAAAAAGCAUCGGCUAACUCCGUGCCAGCAGCCGCGGUAAUACGGAGGAUGCGAGCGUUAUCCGGAUUUAUUGGGUUUAAAGGGUGCGCAGGCGGAAGGUCAAGUCAGCGGUAAAAUUGAGAGGCUCAACCUCUUCGAGCCGUUGAAACUGGUUGUCUUGAGUGAGCGAGAGGUAUGCGGAAUGCGUGGUGUAGCGGUGAAAUGCAUAGAUAUCACGCAGAACUCCGAUUGCGAAGGCAGCAUACCGGCGCUCAACUGACGCUCAUGCACGAAAGUGUGGGUAUCGAACAGGAUUAGAUACCCUAGUAGUC